GGCGGCAGGCCUAACACAUGCAAGUCGAGCGCGUGUAGCAAUACACGAGCGGCAGACGGGAGAGUAACACGUGGGAACGUACCCUUCGGUUCGGAAUAACCCAGGGAAACUUGGACUAAUACCGGAUACGUCCGAAAGGAGAAAGAUUUAUCGCCGAAGGAUCGGCCCGCGGCUGAUUAGCUAGUUGGUGAGGUAACGGCUCACCAAGGCGACGAUCGGUAGCUGGUCUGAGAGGAUGAUCAGCCUCACUGGGACUGAGACACGGCCCAGACUCCUACGGGAGGCAGCAGUGGGGAAUAUUGGACAAUGGGCGCAAGCCUGAUCCAGCCAUGCCGCGUGGGUGAUGAAGGCCCUAGGGUUGUAAAGCCCUUUCGGCGGGGAAGAUAAUGACGGUACCCGCAGAAGAAGCCCCGGCUAACUUCGUGCCAGCAGCCGCGGUAAUACGAAGGGGGCUAGCGUUGCUCGGAAUCACUGGGCGUAAAGCGCACGUAGGCGGAUCGUCAAGUCGGAGGUGAAAUCCUGGAGCUCAACUCCAGAACUGCCUUCGAUACUGGCGAUCUUGGAGU
RNAcentral lists this ribosomal RNA (566 nucleotides) under uncultured bacterium. RNAcentral's name for it is "bacterial SSU rRNA". It matches the Rfam family "Bacterial small subunit ribosomal RNA", at positions 38 to 648 of the family's 1533-position model. The record is from RNAcentral.